Long non-coding RNA from Mandrillus leucophaeus (drill), 407 nucleotides. RefSeq lists it as uncharacterized. The transcript has 3 exons. Lineage: Eukaryota; Metazoa; Chordata; Mammalia; Primates; Cercopithecidae. The record is from RefSeq and is a predicted model, not a curated record.
GCUCUUCCUUUCCCGCGGGACCGGCGAGGGAGGAAGAAGCGCGAAGAACCGUCUGUCAUGCUGGUGUGGUGGCGGCGGCGGAGCCUGCGGGCCCGUAGCUGUGCUCUGCGAGGUGCAAGAAAGCCUUUGCGGUGAAGGUGUAUGAAGGUCAUCAUGACAAAUGUUUUCCAAAAACUUGUAGAAGGCUGUGAAAAAACUACGAGGAUCACACGUCAUGUAUUGAGGUGUGGCAUGCAACAUUUUGGAAGGAAAAUUGAAGACUUGUUCAAGAAAACACGAACAGAAGCAAAUGAUGAAAAUGAGCAUUUUACUUGAUGUUGAUAACAUCACAAUAAAUUAUGGAGAAAAAUACAUAUUUGGCUAACUGUUUUAAUUGCUGAACAAUAAAGUGUUUUCUUUUAAAUCAA